Molecule: long non-coding RNA, 265 nt
Filed under: Actinidia chinensis (golden kiwifruit)
Lineage: Eukaryota; Viridiplantae; Streptophyta; Magnoliopsida; Ericales; Actinidiaceae
Description: long non-coding RNA (ACHI_LNC003211)
Source: RNAcentral
CGACAUUCCCUCCCGCGCGGUUGUUAUUGUUGCCAUCUAGGACUUUUCAUUUCAGGCUUAAUCUAAGCCAUCUAAUUCUGGUAUAUCCUAGCAUGUCAUUCUCAAAACCAUUUUUCAGAUCCAACAUACAUAAAAUUUACACUUGCUAACAGCUUUAAUGUAAAUAAUAGAAAUAUACAAAAUAUUAUAAUCAUCAACACAAUCUAAUAUAAAAUCACAACAAGUAAACCCUCGUUUACCAUUUUCAUUAUAAAUUAAGUUUCUC